Molecule: ribosomal RNA, 495 nt
Filed under: uncultured bacterium
Lineage: Bacteria
Description: partial 16S ribosomal RNA
Rfam family: Bacterial small subunit ribosomal RNA
Source: RNAcentral
GAUGAACGCUGGCGGCGUGCCUAAUACAUGCAAGUAGAACGCUGAAGGAGGAGCUUGCUCUUCUGGAUGAGUUGCGAACGGGUGAGUAACGCGUAGGUAACCUGCCUGGUAGCGGGGGAUAACUAUUGGAAACGAUAGCUAAUACCGCAUGACAACAGUUAUUGCAUGAUAACUGUUUAAAAGGGGCAACUGCUCCACUACCAGAUGGACCUGCGUUGUAUUAGCUAGUUGGUGAGGUAACGGCUCACCAAGGCGACGAUACAUAGCCGACCUGAGAGGGUGAUCGGCCACACUGGGACUGAGACACGGCCCAGACUCCUACGGGAGGCAGCAGUAGGGAAUCUGCGGCAAUGGACGGAAGUCUGACCGAGCAACGCCGCGUGAGUGAAGAAGGUUUUCGGAUCGUAAAGCUCUGUUGUAAGAGAAGAACGAGUGUGAGAGUGGAAAGUUCACACUGUGACGGUAUCUUACCAGAAAGGGACGGCUAACUACGUG